RNAcentral lists this ribosomal RNA (1014 nucleotides) under Lotharella globosa. Its description in RNAcentral is "partial Bacterial large subunit ribosomal RNA". It matches the Rfam family "Bacterial large subunit ribosomal RNA", at positions 22 to 1094 of the family's 2925-position model. Lineage: Eukaryota; Cercozoa; Chlorarachniophyceae. The record is from RNAcentral.
UGGUGGAUGCCUUGGCGUCAAGAGGCGAUGAAGGACGUGGCACUCUGCGAUAAGCUUCGGGGAGGGGAGAGCACCCUUUGAUCCGGAGAUCUCCGAAUGGGGCAACCCACCGCUAUAGCGGUAUCGCAUGCUGAAUACAUAGGCAUGCGAGGCAAACCCGGCGAAGUGAAACAUCUCAGUAGCCGGAGGAAAGGACAUCAACCGAGACUCCGUUAGUAGUGGCGAGCGAACGCGGACCAGGCCAGUGGCUGGAUUGUAAGAACCGGAACCUUCUGGAAAGUAGGGCCAUAGCGGGUGAUAGCCCCGUACGGGUAGAAAGCAGUUCAGUCCUCGAGUAGGGCGGGACACGUGAAAUCCUGUCUGAAAUUGGGGGGACCACCCUCCAAGCCUAAGUACUCCUUGACGACCGAUAGUGAACCAGUACCGUGAGGGAAAGGUGAAAAGCACCCCGACGAGGGGAGUGAAAGAGACCUGAAACCGGAUGCUUACAAGCAGUGGGAGCCUCCUUGAGGGGUGACCGCGUACCUUUUGUAUAAUGGGUCAGCGAGUUGAUUUUGCGAGCAAGCUUAAGCCGUUAGGUGUAGGCGGAGCGAAAGCGAGUGUUAAUAGCGCGAUGUAGUUCGUAGGAUCAGACCCGAAACCCGGUGAUCUAGCCAUGAGCAGGUUGAAGGCGGGGUAACACCCGCUGGAGGACCGAACCCACCUAUGUUGAAAAAUGGGGGGAUGACUUGUGGUUAGGGGUGAAAGGCCAAUCAAACCGGGUAAUAGCUGGUUCUCCGCGAAAACUAUUUAGGUAGUGCGUCACGUAUUACCGCCGGGGGUAGAGCACUGGAUGGGCUAGGGGUCCCCACAGGAUUACCAAACCUAACCAAACUCCGAAUACCGGUGAGUAGAGCGUGGCAGACAGACUGUGGGUGCUAAGGUCCAUGGUCGAAAGGGAAACAGCCCAGACCGCCAGCUAAGGUCCCUAAGUCAUGGCUAAGUGGGAAAGGAUGUGGGAAGGCCAAGACAACC